Molecule: long non-coding RNA, 1526 nt
Organism: Helianthus annuus (common sunflower)
Lineage: Eukaryota; Viridiplantae; Streptophyta; Magnoliopsida; Asterales; Asteraceae
Exons: 7
Source: RefSeq, a predicted model, not a curated record
GGUUUUCAAGGUUUAGUUUUAUUGUGAUAAUGCCGCGUGGUGGCUGAUGCAUAGCAAGAAUGAGAGAAGAUUCCAGAGACAGAGCAAGAGACGGGUAACACCACCAUCGCAUGAUGCUUCACAGUACACGACAGAGAGACCAAGCGGCGAGAGAGAGAGAGAGAGACAGAAAGGAGGGGGUGGAGAGACGACGGGGGCACAGUGAUGGCGGUGUCGUUGAGGGUUUGUGGACUUUUCCGAUCUCUUCAUCUGGUGGUGUGCUUUUUGAUUGAUUAGAUCUUGCCGCUGCUGUUACAUUUCUUCCGGCGAGUUCUCCGGCGAAGGUCUGUAUAUACCGAAACUUUUCUCUUAAUCGAUCUCAUUUUGUUUCGAUUCAUGUGUUUGUUCGGUACAGGUAGACAAUAACUUGGAGAUUUUUCAAUUUGUUGUCGCCUGCUACUCCGGUUUAUUUAAGUUUGUUUGUAGGUACGGUUGGAUUUAGGCAACUGUUUUACAGGUUUUAUGUCACUUUGCUCACUAUAUUUGACUUUAAAAUUCAAUUAUUAUAUUGAUUUGAUUUGCAAUAAAUUUUCUUCAGUUUAAAGUUAUAUGAGCAAAAUAAUUUGAUGUAGGGUUUAGUUUAUAGUUGAGCUUAGGUAUGGAAGACGGAAGCGCAUCAAGACAGAGUUCUUCAACUACCUAUGCCACAAUGAUUGUGAAGAUAGCGAUGAUCAUGGCUUGAAAAAACAUCGAAUUGAGUGAGUGGAAUUUAAGAUGACCUCAUCAGAUGUUGUGUAAGAGUAACGGAUUAAGGAAACAAAGUAGCGGGUGUGACAUCCUCCGGGUUCCGUUGAUGAAUUAGUCACUGUUCUUGACGCAAGCCCUACUUUUGAGUUUUGUUUACGGUUCCUGUUUUAGUACUAAGGAGGCAUGCUAUGAAUAUUUAUCUGAUAGCCCUUUUGAAUGGUGGCACAAGGGUGCUUGCUUCUUAUUCAUGUGGGAUGGAAGAGUGAGCAAUCUUUUCCUCAAAUGGUUCACAGCAUAUAUAUGGAGGUAGCAAGAAUGGCUUUAUAAAUAUAUGGAUCUACAUGGUGGAGGAUCAUUAGUUGCUUUUCAAAAUUACAAGGAGUGGCAUCAGAUUUUCUCGACACUCCGAUCGGGCAAAUACUGGAGAGGCUGCAAGCACUUGGAAUUUCCUGAACCUAGAACCAUCCAUAUUUAGCCGGCUGUUGCUGAAUUUGUUUAUUAGUCUUUGCAGAUGCUCACGAGAUGAUGAUCAUGGAGAGAUGGUUUCAAAGAAAAAGAACCCAUGAAGAGAUUGCGAACUUGGAGAAGAAGCAUUGAGAAGGGCGGGCAAUACUUGAAGUGUAUUUUAGAAGGCGAAUUAUAGUGGUGGUGUUAAAAAAAACACAGGUUUAGGUUGAAAUACUUUGGCGUAAUCUGUUGGGCAUGAAAGCUGGCUAGACUCUAAUUUUUUUUAUGGAUAUUACAUAACAUUUAUGGAUUUUGUAUAGUAAACUCUUGAAACAGAGUGUUAUUUUCAAUUU